Molecule: long non-coding RNA, 86 nt
Organism: Etheostoma spectabile (orangethroat darter)
Lineage: Eukaryota; Metazoa; Chordata; Actinopteri; Perciformes; Percidae
Exons: 3
Source: RefSeq, a predicted model, not a curated record
UGUUUACAUGCUGAUCCCUUGUUCCUUUGAUGUUAAAAGUUGUACUUUUGAUAUGUUUUUGCCUAUAUUUUUAAAAAAAAUACUGC